This 99-nucleotide ribosomal RNA is filed under the name Vibrio cholerae. Lineage: Bacteria; Pseudomonadati; Pseudomonadota; Gammaproteobacteria; Vibrionales; Vibrionaceae. The record is from RNAcentral.
UUUGGACCCACCUGAUUCCAUCCCGAACUCAGAAGUGAAACGAAACAGCGUCGAUGGUAGUGUGGGGUCUCCCCAUGUGAGAGUAGAACAUCGCCAGGC